GCAAGCGUGAAUCUGGCAGCUAGGGCGUGCGAGAAAAAUUUUUCUCGUUUGCAUCUGGCUGCUUGCUGCUACUACCGAUACAGCUAACAGCCAAACUUCACGUAGCGGGAGAAGCAUAGUGGAUUAUUUACAACAAACCUGAUGGAAUAAAUGUACCGUGAAGUGAUAGUCAAAAUGUCUAACUCCUUAAACAGUUGGCUACAAGAUGACCAUGGUUCGAGAACGAUCAGUCACGGUGUAAGAAAUUUGGCUCGCCUGCUGAAAGAGGAACUCACGUACAAACUCUGCAGGAGCGUACCCAACCACUAGGAAAUAAUGAGGGCCGAUACAACAAUUACGUGCGCUGUUGCUUUUUUGUGCAUCUCUAAAUGACCAUUAAGAAGAUGCUGUGAUGUAAAUCCCGCAUCACAGAAUUCACACACAAAUG
Long non-coding RNA from Schistocerca gregaria, 427 nucleotides. RefSeq lists it as uncharacterized. NCBI's taxonomy places the organism in Eukaryota, Metazoa, Arthropoda, Insecta, Orthoptera, Acrididae. The transcript has 4 exons. The record is from RefSeq and is a predicted model, not a curated record.